RNAcentral lists this unclassified non-coding RNA (3164 nucleotides) under Hevea brasiliensis (rubber tree). Lineage: Eukaryota; Viridiplantae; Streptophyta; Magnoliopsida; Malpighiales; Euphorbiaceae. The record is from RNAcentral.
AAUUUUAUAACUGUUUUUCUUGAUCACAUCUAAAUGUGUAUACAUAACUUGAUGAGAACAAGAGAAAUUUCAGAUUGUUCUCAAUCUAAAACUAGUUUAAGUUUUAGUCCAUGGCAGUUUUUACCCCUCUACUCAAAACUAGCCAAGUUACAAAACGAACCAGGCCCUUAAAAUCCUACCUACACUUCUCACUUCCAGUAACUUUCACAGUUUCAGUUAACAAUAAAUUGAAGACAUUGAAAUUUAUCACAUCUUACUGGAAAUGUAAAUGACAUGAUUCACUAAGGGAACCAGAGCAACAAGAAUAUUACAAGAUAACUACUCAAUGCGGAAAUCUGAUUAAUCCUUCUGAUAAAUUAAAAGAAAAAAAAUUCUGAUUAAUCUUUAGGAUCUGCAGAAUAUCAAUUGGCAAAAGCGCAGGAAUUAGUAUCAAUAUGUUGAAGGAUAUAUUUAUUUCUUAGAAAUACCAAUUAGUAAGACUUGGCUCAUAAGUCUGUCAUCUUUGCAAUUGCCCACAACAUCAGCAAUGGCUUCUUUCCAGUGCCCUGCAGGUGCAACCCAAAUUCUGCAAUUGUUUUGACCUCGGCUUUCCUAUAUAUUCUUCUGCACCUGUAAAAGAUUUUGUUUCAUGUAACACUUUAUAGUUACCACUUGCACUUGCUCUUGCAUCAUUUGCAUCAUUACUAAUAUAAAUAUGGGAAAAUCCCGCAUUAUGGUCAGGCAUUGUUGCUCUUUUCGCAACUACUUCCAACUUAGCUCCAAUGGCAGAACAUGAAACUAUCCAGAUGUCAAUAUCAAGUGGUUUUUGGGAAAGUAUAACUGCUUUAAUACACAGCUUACAAGCUGAAGAUAGUCAUGAUUUAAAUUUUAUUAUACAAUAGGUUACGAAGCAUUCACAUGGUCUAAAACUGCAUUGGCGGACUGUUGGGCAAAAAUCUUCUGCCUGAAUUGCACAUAUGGGUACCCAACAAAUGACAGAAAGUGAGCAGGCUUCGAGAAGGAAAGUACCUCAUACCACACCUGAUUAUUCUCAUCCAUUUCAAUUGAAAAACGCUCUUCCCCAGCCUGCUUUGCAGCAAAACAGCAACCAAUAUUAGAAACAUUGAAGGCUUAUGUUUCCUGAAGUGGACUUCACGUGCCAAAAUUUCAAUGUCUAAGUAAUUAGACAGUGUGCAAAACUAAUGCCGAGGACAAGACCACAUAGAUGAAAGCAGAACAUUGCAUUCAUAAUGCCUCAAUUGAAAGAAAUAUUAAAACUGGUUGUUCCAAAUGAUACAACUACACCAAAGAAUUGUCAUUCAAACUGUUAUAAUUUGGCCCUAGAAUAGCUCUUUUACUUUUAAGUUGAAUUAAUGCAACAUACAACACCAUUAGCCCCAUUCUGAAAUCAAUAAUAUUUGUUUAUCAUAUAAAUAUUAGUUUUCUUAGUAAAUCACAUUAGAAGAAAACAAACCUAAUGCUUAAACAAGAAUGAUUAUAAAGAAGUGAACAUAUUUAUGUCCAGAGUUCAUUCCCUUGAUCAUGCAUAUUUAUUUUUGGAUCUUAAAAUGCCAAGAUGUGGACAACUUUAUUGGUAAACAUUCAUAAAUUCUUAUACUUGUCUUAAGCUCUACCAAAUCAAUGCAGGUAAGUCACUGAGGUAGUCAAUUACUUCAUUAAAAAGUGUCCUAAAAAUCCAUCAUGAAUCUGAAUGCUUAAACUUGAGCUAAUUGAAGAUUCAUUGCAAAGAAAAAUGGAAAUCUGAAUCACAAAUAAGAGGAAAACUAUUCACUUCUAUCUAACAAUUAAAUGAAAAGUUGUAGAUAUGACAAAGAAGUUCAUGCAAGGUCAAGGUCUAAGUGAACAGAUAAAAGAGUGAAAGUGACAAUUAAUUAAUUAAAGAUAAAAGCUAGAAAGCAAUAUGUUUAUCUAAACACCAUGAAAUCUUCAUUUCACUACAGAUAACAAUAAGCGAUAUUACUAGAUUCACAUAUAUGUUUUCAAACUAUUUCUAGGACUUCUAGGAGCCCACAAAUCAAAUUUUUGCAAAUAGAAUUGGGAUACUGUCAUUAUGAAUCAAGUUAAGGCUGCAAUACAAAAUGAAAAAUAAAAUUGCUGCAAUUGAGCAAGAUUUUGGUGCCACGAGGUUUGAAAUAUAGUGCACGCACCAUGCUUUUAAUGAAGUAAACGAAGCACAUAAGAAUCUUCAGUCAUGUAUUUAUACAGGACAGGAAGUAAUGAAGAUUAGAUCCACUUAACCUCAACAAUGAACUGAAUUUGCAACCCUGACAAGUCAUCCAAAUUCAUAUUCUAAUCCCAAGCAAAAAUGAUAUGACUGGCAAAGAAGCACUAACCAACAGGUGACCUUGAAGAGUACCACUGCCAAAAGAAAAUGAAGCCAUGGCUUUCUUAGACUUUUUACUUUCUUUAACAUAAACCACCUGAAGAGGCAUCAUGACCCAUGGCAGAAACUGCUUUAAACAAACACAGAAUUUCACUCCAGUCUGAAUGGGAGUCUUGGGAUCAACAAAUGCCCAAGUUAAUCCAAAAUGCCUGCAUAUCAAUUCUAUUAUUAUAGGCAUUUUCCCAUCAUUAAGGGCUAUGAGGAAUGGGUAAAAUAAGCAUAAGUUCACGGACCUCCAAGUUUGAAGAGCUAACUUUCCCUUUUCAAAAGUCUCAAGACCAGAACCAACUAACACACGGGCAUGGUUUAGUAAGAAGCCAUCUUCUGAGAGCUGAUGGUCUUCUUUAAGGGAAGAUACAGGUUUAGCAGUAGCUCCCCUGUACUUUGGGUUAUAGUUGAAGGCACCUAACCUAAAUGACAAGGCCCAGCUAUAAGCAAAUAUAGAAAAAUCAAAACUGAAAAUGGUUCGAUUUCCCAGUAUAACAGAAGAAAAUUCAGAGUUAGAUUCAAUUCCAUUUACUUGUUCAAGCAAUCCUUCUGCUCUUGAGGAGAAGGCUUAGCCCAGGACAAGAAAACCAUCUCUGCCAAAAAACUAUCAAUAACACAAUUACAAUCAUCACGAGUGUUUCUUAUCGAAAUUUAGAUGGGGAAAAAGAAAACAUAUAUUUAUCCCAAUUGCUGAAAUUAGAAAAUGUUAAUAGCAGAAACGGCAUGGAAAUUAGAUGCUUACAAAUGCUAGGAGUAAGAAAGAUUUUAUUUUACCUCGUAGACUUCAAUUUCG